This is a long non-coding RNA of Trifolium pratense (red clover), 738 nucleotides long. RefSeq lists it as uncharacterized. NCBI's taxonomy places the organism in Eukaryota, Viridiplantae, Streptophyta, Magnoliopsida, Fabales, Fabaceae. The record is from RefSeq and is a predicted model, not a curated record. The transcript is spliced from 3 exons.
CCGACAUCUAUUUUGCAAUGAGAUUAUUAUACGUGUGAUUGUUGUUGUGUUGCUGCUGUUGUUGUUGCUUUUUGUGGCUUUUUGUCAUCAUAUUACAUUAUUUGAGGUUUAAAGGGAUUGUGGAUAUUUUUGACGAGGUAAAAGUUAUCUCGUGGAAGUGGAGUGUGGAGAGAUUGAAAAUAGCCCCGUGUCUUUUUUACGAAUGGUUGUGGGAGCCCGGUAUUUGUUUCAAUAGUGGUUAGUGUUUCAGUUUUGGAGUGGGGCGCUGUUUUUGCUUUCCGUGUUUCUGUUUUUUAGUUCCUUUGCUGGGCUGUUUGUUUCUUUUUUUUUUCUGGUUUGGCAGACUGCCUCCCUUUUGGUUUUGAGGUGGGUGCUUUAGUUCUCCUUGAGGUGAAGCCCCUCCUCUGCUUGUACUUCUUGCUUGUUCUCUUUAGUUCUCCUUUAGUUCCUCCUGCUGUAUCUGUUAGUAAUUGGAAUUGGAGUUAGUUUUCAGCAGAGAAAAUCUGAGUUUGUAAUUGGCUGCCCUCAUGAGUUAAUUUUUAGGUAUUGUGCAAAGGCUUAAUUUUUAGUUUCUUUGUAAUUUGACUUGUUGUGUAGUGGAUUUUGCACACCUUGUGCUCAAUUCACUCCUUAUGUAGACCUUUGUAAUUAAUUUGAUACCUUGUGUAGUGGAUUUAUACAAAAUGAAAUUUUGGGCGCCAAAAUAUUUCUUAAUGAAGCAGAGCGAAAGUUCGAAUU